This 884-nucleotide ribosomal RNA is filed under the name uncultured archaeon. Its description in RNAcentral is "bacterial SSU rRNA". It matches the Rfam family "Archaeal small subunit ribosomal RNA", at positions 35 to 922 of the family's 1478-position model. The record is from RNAcentral.
GGGGCGGGAUGAACUAGCAUGCGAGUCAUUGUAGCAAUACAAGGCAGACGGCUCAGUAACGCGUAGUCAAUCUACCCUAUGGACGGGAAUAACCUCGGGAAACUGAGAAUAAUGCCCGAUAGAACAUUAUACCUGGAACGGUUUAUGUUUCAAAUGAUUUAUCGCCGUAGGAUGGGACUGCGGCCUAUCAGUUUGUUGGUGAGGUAAUGGCCCACCAAGACUAUUACAGGUACGGGCUCUGAGAGGAGUAGCCCGGAGAUGGGUACUGAGACACGGACCCAGGCCCUAUGGGGCGCAGCAGGCGAGAAAACUUUGCAAUGUGCGAAAGCACGACAAGGUUAAUCCGAGUGGUUCCUGCUAAAGGAACCUUUUGUCGGUCCUAGAAACACCGAUGAAUAAGGGGUGGGCAAGUUCUGGUGUCAGCCGCCGCGGUAAAACCAGCACCUCAAGUGGUCAGGAUGAUUAUUGGGCCUAAAGCAUCCGUAGCCGGCUCUGUAAGUUUUCGGUUAAAUCUGUACGCUUAACGUACAGGCUGCCGGGAAUACUGCAUAGCUAGGGAGUGGGAGAGGUAGACGGUACUCGGUAGGAGGGGGUAAAAUCCUUUGAUCUAUUGAUGACCACCUGUGGCGAAGGCGGUCUACCAGAACACGUCCGACGGUGAGGGAUGAAAGCUGGGGGAGCAAACCGGAUUAGAUACCCGGGUAGUCCCAGCUGUAAACUAUGCAAACUCAGUGAUGCAUUGGCUUGUGGCCAAUGCAGUGCUGCAGGGAAGCCGUUAAGUUUGCCGCCUGGGGAAGUACGUACGCAAGUAUGAAACUUAAAGGAAUUGGCGGGGGAGCACCACAAGGGGUGAAGCCUGCGGUUCAAUUGGAGUCAACGCCGGG